GGAUCCAGACUUUGAUUAUGGCUCAGGAUGAACGCUAGCUACAGGCUUAACACAUGCAAGCCGAGGGGAAACGACAUCGAAAGCUUGCUUUUGAUGGGCGUCGACCGGCGCACGGGUGAGUAACGCGUAUCCAACCUGCCCAUCACUUGGGAAUAACCUUGCGAAAGUAAGACUAAUACCCAAUGUUAUCCCACGAAGGCAUCCGAAUGGGAUUAAAGAUUUAUCGGUGAUGGAUGGGGAUGCGUCUGAUUAGCUUGUUGGCGGGGUAACGGCCCACCAAGGCAACGAUCAGUAGGGGUUCUGAGAGGAAGGUCCCCCACAUUGGAACUGAGACACGGUCAAACUCCUACGGGAGGCAGCAGUGAGGAAUAUUGGUCAGUGGGCGAGAGCCUGAACCAGCCAAGUAGCGUGCAGGAUGACAGCCCUAUGGGUUGUAAACUGCUUUUAUAAGGGAAUAAAGUGGGUCACGUGUGACUUUUUGCAUGUACCUUAUGAAUAAGGACCGGCUAAUUCCGUGCCAGCAGCCGCGGUAAUACGGAAGGUCCGGGCGUUAUCCGGAUUUAUUGGGUUUAAAGGGAGCGUAGGCCGGAGAUUAAGCGUGUUGUGAAAUGUAGAGGCUCAACCUCUGCACUGCAGCGCGAACUGGUCUUCUUGAGUACGCACAACGUGGGCGGAAUUCGUGGUGUAGCGGUGAAAUGCUUAGAUAUCACGAAGAACUCCGAUUGCGAGGGCAGCUCACGGGAGCGCAACUGACGCUGAAGCUCGAAAGUGCGGGUAUCGAACAGGAUUAGAUACCCUGGUAGUCCGCACGGUAAACGAUGGAUGCCCGCUGUUGGCCUGAAUAGGUCAGCGGCCAAGCGAAAGCAUUAAGCAUCCCACCUGGGGAGUACGCCGGCAACGGUGCAACUCAAAUGAAUUGACGG
This 923-nucleotide ribosomal RNA is filed under the name uncultured Bacteroidota bacterium. Its description in RNAcentral is "bacterial SSU rRNA". It matches the Rfam family "Bacterial small subunit ribosomal RNA", at positions 1 to 916 of the family's 1533-position model. The record is from RNAcentral. Lineage: Bacteria; Pseudomonadati; Bacteroidota.